This 250-nucleotide ribosomal RNA is filed under the name uncultured Actinomycetales bacterium. Its description in RNAcentral is "partial 16S ribosomal RNA". It matches the Rfam family "Bacterial small subunit ribosomal RNA", at positions 83 to 334 of the family's 1533-position model. The record is from RNAcentral. Lineage: Bacteria; Bacillati; Actinomycetota; Actinomycetes; Actinomycetales.
UGGGGUGCUCGAGUGGCGAACGGGUGAGUAACACGUGAGUAACCUGCCCUUGACUUUGGGAUAACUUCAGGAAACUGGGGCUAAUACCGGAUAGGAGCUCCUGCUGCAUGGUGGGGGUUGGAAAGUUUCGGCGGUUGGGGAUGGACUCGCGGCUUAUCAGCUUGUUGGUGGGGUAGUGGCUUACCAAGGCUUUGACGGGUAGCCGGCCUGAGAGGGUGACCGGCCACAUUGGGGCUGAGAUACGGCCCAG